Molecule: ribosomal RNA, 427 nt
Filed under: uncultured bacterium
Lineage: Bacteria
Description: partial 16S ribosomal RNA
Rfam family: Bacterial small subunit ribosomal RNA
Source: RNAcentral
UGGGGAAUAUUGGACAAUGGGCGAAAGCCUGAUCCAGCCAUGCCGCGUGUGUGAAGAAGGUCUUCGGAUUGUAAAGCACUUUAAGUUGGGAGGAAGGGCAUUAACCUAAUACGUUAGUGUUUUGACGUUACCGACAGAAUAAGCACCGGCUAACUCUGUGCCAGCAGCCGCGGUAAUACAGAGGGUGCAAGCGUUAAUCGGAAUUACUGGGCGUAAAGCGCGCGUAGGUGGUUUGUUAAGUUGGAUGUGAAAUCCCCGGGCUCAACCUGGGAACUGCAUUCAAAACUGACUGACUAGAGUAUGGCAGAGGGUGGUGGAAUUUCCUGUGAAGCGGUGAAAUGCGUAGAUAUAGGAAGGAACACCAGUGGCGAAGGCGACCACCUGGACUAAUACUGACACUGAGGUGCGAAAGCGUGGGGAGCAAACA